Molecule: long non-coding RNA, 7304 nt
Organism: Onychostoma macrolepis
Lineage: Eukaryota; Metazoa; Chordata; Actinopteri; Cypriniformes; Cyprinidae
Exons: 2
Source: RefSeq, a predicted model, not a curated record
CUGUCUGUCCUGCUAAAGCGCUGUCCUCCACAGACCCUAAGGAGAACAAAGAAACAUAUUCGGGACUUAAAUGUCAUAUGAAUUGAGUUAUUGUGCCAGAGGAGUGUGGUUGAAAAUCAUAUUUGAUGUGUAUGAUCGUAAAUACUUGUGAUUCAUGUUUAGACAAAUACCACCCACUUCAGGUGCUGGAAUAAGGAAAUGAACCCUGCGGUGUUUCAUGAACAACAUUAUUGUGUACAAAUAUUUAGUUACUUUUCUUACAAGAUAACUAGAUAAACAGCUUACCGGAUUUAUCGCUCUUGACUUGACUUGCCAUCGCUGCUUCAGCGGAGAGAAUCUGAGCGACCCUGAGGAAGGUUUAAACAACAAACUAACAACAGCAAACACAGAAGUGACUAGUCACCAAGCGCAACAGUUAACCUAUGAGAUGGCACUGAAACGUUAACCAAUCACAGGCCACUACAACCUUAACCAAUCAUAAGUCGGUAAAAUGUCAGCCAAUCAGAGGCGGUCUGUCGCGGUCGAACCUUUGGUCGAACUGGUCUGACUCGGUGAAGUUACAAACUUCCGCGUUGAAUUCUUCCUUUCUUUUUUUCUUUCUUUGUGACAAAAACAUUUCAGCAUAACAUCACACGCGGACAUAUAACAACCUUCAAUCACUAUUAUAUUAGAUAAUAUUAUAUUAUAUGACAUUAUAGUAUGAUAAUUAUUGAAUUCUUUCAUUUCUUUUGCUGUAACAAGUUGGGCUGGUGUGGUUACACGUGGUCUGCGGUUGUGAGGCCGGUUGGAUGCACUGCCAAAUUCUCUGAAACGCCUUCGGAGACGGCUUGUGGUAGAGAAAUGAACAUUCAAUUCACGGGCAACAGCUCUGGUGGACAUUCCUGCAGUCAGCAUGCCAAUUGCACGCGCCCUCAAAACUCGCGACAUCUGUGGCAUUGUGCUGUGUGAUAAAACUGCACAUUUUAGAGUGGCCUCUUAUUGUGGCCAGCCUAAGGCACACCUGUGUAAUAAUCAUGCUGUCUAAUCAGCAUCUUGAUAUGCCACACCUGUGAGGUGGAUGGAUUAUCUCUGCAAAGGAGAAGUGCUCUCACAGAUGAAGAGAUCAUGCUUUACAGCUAUUAAUGACAGAUCAUGAUCAUGAAUGUAGUGUGCAGGAUUGAUAAACAUUACUAUAAAAUAAAAUGUUAUGAAUUUAAUUUUUUCAUAGGCCUCCUUUAAUUAAUCUUUUUAGUUUCAGCACAGAGAGUUUUCUGUGCACUAAUAACUGGGAAUGCCAUCUCAUCUUAAAAAUAUAUACAGUAUGAUACAUUUUUUUUAUACAAACAGUAAAAAGGUACAGUUAUUGUAAAAUAAUACAUUUGAACUAUUUGUAAUUAAUAUUUGUAUUUUUCUGAAAGGCUUCAAUGAAAGCCAGGUAACCAUGUUCAUUAUUUUGAUUCACAAAACACAUUAAUUCUUAAUUUUGUGCAUACUACGCUGAAAACAGUUCUGUUCAAUGAUGAACCGCAACUCAACGAAUUGAGUUACAAAUAUGAUAAAUAUAUCUAUAGAAAGCUUUAAAUUACUACUUUAAAACGAAAUAAUUCAAAUCGAAAACAAAACUCUCUUUUUCUGGAGGAUGCAGCCUUCCGUUUGAGAAACGGCCUAUGAGUACACCCGCCAUUCAGAUAUGGGCCGUUUCUCAAACGGAAGGCUGCAUCCUCCAGAGGUCGAUUUGUAGGCUGCAUACAUCAUGCAACCUGGUUUAUUUAAGUUAAUCAAGCAUUACAUUCGCAAGUCAUAAGCAUAUUACAACAAUUUACACUUAACUAAGAAUAAUGGUCAAAUUUAUAACCAUUAAUAUACUAAAAUAAGAUCUUCUUUGUGACGUAUGCAGCCUACAAAUGCGACCUCCGGAGGAUGCAGCCUUCCGUUUGAGAAACGGCCAUGAUGACUCGCACCACCAUUUCAUAAGCUUCAAGAUGGCGGAGAACAAAUACGAAAAAUUAUGAUUACAUCAGGCAGGGGCGUAAAUUUCAUCUAACAGUAGGGGGGGACAAUAAACAUAAAAUUUCUCAAGAGCAAUUUUUGAAGGGGACACAAAUAAUACAGCCAAAAUUGUACUUGUAAGGAUAGACAUGUGUACACAGCAUGGACCGUGUUUAAAUAUGAGUUCAGUUCACCACGCAGUCAUAUUAUAAUUAUUAUUUUGUGUCAUUAUAGUAUUUUAGGUUUCGUCUGAAACCCAGUAUCUCUUUAGAUAUUCAGCCGCAUUAAGCCCACUGAUCUGCCACUUAACAUUAUAUUGAGCAAAACCCAACACAUCGGUAGGUCUACAAUAUUAGCCUAAUAUCAGUUCACACACAGGCUUAUCGCCGUUUUAGUUGCAGUGGGACAAGCUACGGUAUUAAAUUUGUUAACCUUAUAAUCGCUCAUAGAAAAACUAAUUUAUUAAUGAUCCAGCAUCAUCUGUAUUAAAGAGAAAGAAUAAUUUCACCCGAUGUUUAAAGAGAAUAAAAUAGCCUUGACAGCCUAAGUUACUUACAUGACUAACUGUUACUGAGGAACUUGCUCUCUCACACCGGACUCGUGUGUGUAUCGGUAAAAGAGGAAAGCAGGCAGUGGACCAAACCACUGUGAGGCAACAGAGGGGGGAAUCAAAACACUUCUGAACUUAAAACGGUUUUUUGUGUUUAUUUUGUUUUACUACUCACACAAUUAAUUUAAGUAUAUGUCCAUUGUAUUAUUUUUAAUACACAGAGUCGCUUGUAAUGAUAUAUUUAGGGGGGACAACCCUCAGCGAGGGGGGGGUCCUGUCCCCCCCGUCCCCCCCGGGAUUUACGCCUAUGACAUCAGGGCACCAACUACUCAGUGCAUGAACAUCUUGUUUUAACCACAGACACAAAUGUUAUACUACAAUUCAUGCACAAUCAUGUCAACCAGAUACUGAGAGACACAGUGCAUCAUCGUGUCAUGUGUGCUGGGAUGCAGUAUUUUGCACUUUGUAGAAAUAGUACGGUGGCUGAGAGAUCUCAAUGCGUUGCAACUUCAGAAAACACAUGCAAAUAGAAAAAGCACCAGCAAAUCAAGAACAUAUCUUCAUCAAUUUGACAGCAGGUGCUGCAAAUGUUCACAACACAAACAAAUAAAGAAACGCACUGCAAAUGCUCACAACACAACCAAAUAAAGAAUUGUAUUUGCGUUUCUUGUGUUGUGAGCAUUUGCAGUGCAUGUGUUGUCAAAUUGAUGAAGUCGUUUUCUUAAUAUGCUAUGCAGGUGUUUUUUUUAUUUUUUAUUUUUUCCUAGUUGCAGCGCGUUGAGCUCUCUCGGCCACCGUAUAAUAGAGUGUGUUGACUGAAAUAAGUUUGUAUGAAUAAAGGUUUUGUUUUUGGAGAAUCAUAAUAUCUCUUAUCUGUUGUAUUUGAGCAGGACAGGGAUGCACUUUGGUGACACAUGAAACAAAUGCCCAACAUUGUGUGUCUUUUGUGUCUUUACAUCAUUUCCAUCAUGUGCUUGCAGAUCACAGGAAGAAUUUACUGAUUCAAAUGUGUAGUGCAGAGUUACAAGAAAGCAUUUCCUAAAUUUCACAUCAGAAUUUUUUAUACUGUCAUAAAAUUGUACUGUCAUUGUAAAGUAUAUAUUUACUUUCCUUUGCCAAUUUUACCUGUAUUUACUUUCUUUUCAUAUUUGGCGACUUUUUGUGAAAAAUUGAGACUUUUGUGGGUGGUUCUAGAGAUUUUCUGAGGGAGGGGUUUGGCAACACGGUGCGCUGACUGCGCUCAGCGCUCGGGAGAACGACGAUUAUUGGUAAGUGAGAAUAUUAAUUAAUUUUACAUAAACCCUUGUCAUUUGUAGUAAGCAGCCCGUUUCUUUCAAGAAGCUAAAAGAAGAAAGGUCGUUUAUCGCGUUGUCCAGGCCCACGCAAUUCUCCGCCGGGAGGUUUGUCAUUUUUAACAUUAAUCCCUAAAGUAUCUUGAUAAAACUGUUGUGAAUUGAUCAAUAAUGCUGGCGAGAGUUCAUGUUAUAGCCUAACGUAAUAUUUUUUGCCCUUUAGAUUGGACCUAUAUAUACAGGAAAAGAUGAAAAAAUUUCCAGGGAAGUUCUCCGUCGCCACGACGGAUUUCCGUUAAUUGCAGGGAGUCUACGACGGAUUUCCGUUAAUUGCAGGGAGUCUACGACGGAUUUCCGUUAAUUGCAGGGAGUCUACGACGGAUUUCCGUCAAUUUGAAAAAAUGAGGGGGAAAGAAAAAUGUAGCGCAUUGUUGUUGUUUACACCAAAAAUCAUCCCCGCCAAGUCUGCAGCUUCUCACUGACUACGUUUACAUGGACAUCAGUAAUCAAAUUAUUUACCUUAUUCUGAAUAAAACAAUAUUAUGACUGAGGUGUUUACAUGAGUUGCUUUUAGAAUAAUCCUUUCAUGUUCCCGUUUUACAUGUUACAGAUCGAUUAAUGGCACGCGUCAUUACGUCCCCAUGCGACGCUAUCCGACGUCCUCCAGAAUUUCACGUAUAAACAUCUUCGUGAUGAUGCCAUAUACAGUUUUGGGUGUUUCAUUUUUAAUUUUAGGAAAGCUUCAAGUGCAGUUAAUUAUUUGUACAGACGACGGCGGUGUUGAAGCUCUUUUAUUUGCCGUCAAACGGUUGAACACUGCCGUGUGUGUAUCCUGUCGCAAAAUGCGCCGAAAAGUCCUGCAGGAAGGUAAUAAUGUGAUUAAGGUGUCCUAAAAUAGGAAUACUCCACAUGUCCUCAUUCCAUUAUUGUUUACUUUGAUUAUGACUUUAGCUGGAUUAAGGUAAUCAAAAAUCUGUUUACAUGGUAGACUCUUAAUCGGUAUUUAAUUGUAUUAAAAUCGGAGUAUUGAUGUCCAUGUAAACGUAGUCAGUGAUUCAUGAUUACCCAUUCAUAAAGACAGUCACUUGCUUCACCCUUGAAUGAAGCAGCCGUUCGAACGAAUCAAUUGAAUAAAUGAUUCAGUGCUAAAAUCAGUGACAUACCGCCACCUGCUGGCGGUUUCAGUUUCAUUUUUAGCGUAAAAUUUCAGUUAUUUAAAUAAUUUAAUAUUUCUGUAUUCAAAAAUUUAUAUUUAAAACAUUAAUGCCCACAUGAAUCUAUGAAUUUAAUUGCACUCACCUUUGAGCCUCAUAUGAUUGGUUACUUAUUUGUCUUAAUCUACUUAUUAUAUUGUUUUAAAUAGAAAUUUAAAAAAAGCUUAUAACCAUACGUUUUUGAAUUUGACAAAGAUGAAAAUGAUGCCAUUGCAAAGGUGAAAAGAAAAUACCCCUGUAAGUCACUUUAAGGAGUCAAAUGUCUCGUAUUAGGAAUGCUAAUUUUUGAUCAGAAUUUGAUUAUUGAUCAGAAGGUGCUCCUAAUUUUUUUUAAAUUAGGAGGACCAGCGCCCCUAAAAAGAAAAGUAAGCACAAAGCCAUGUGUAACAUAUUAGAUCCAUGCAUGAGGUCUUAAAGAGACAGCAGCCUAAAUAAACCUGCUGCUGUCUUUCAUUAUACAGUGAAGACUAUCCAGUGUUAUUUUACAGUUGAAUAGAUUAUAGUUAGACCUAACUGAAAAAAAUUAAGUACUGAUCAUUUUAAUUUGUAUCUUGUUGUUUUUGUUUGUGCUAUUGAUUGUAAUUAAUUUAUUUGUUCUUACUUUAUUAUUUACUAAUUGUCUUUUUUAGUUAAUAGAAUAAUUCAAUUCUGAGUGCAGGUGAUUCUUGGGUGGGUAGGGGGCGUGGUCCAUGGGAAAUAGUGCUGCCACCACAGUCACUUCGUAUUAAGAAGGCUAAUUUUUGAUCAGAAUUAUUUAAAAUUCUUUUUUAAAGGGGAUUUGUGGGGGUGAAAGAAUGGAUGAAACGCAUUUGUCCGUGUUUCACUCCAUCUCAAAUCGCGCUCACGGAAAGCGCUCGAGAAACAGUAUAUCUUCCGCGGCUCGAUACGCUUUCAACUCGCUAUUUUUUUAGUCUUUAGUAACAUUCACGUUACAUGCUUUGACUGAUUCUUACAUAGAUAGGGUGACAGCGCACCGCAUUAAAAGAAAUGAUCAUUCAUGUUUUCAUAACCGCUGGCCAAACUCAAAAACAAAAUUAAAACAUCUAUGAGAGUAAGGUGUUUCGGGGGCCCUAUGCAGCUUGUGUAUUCUGCGUAUAGGGACGAUCGGCUCUGGACAGGUAUGGCUGUGGAAUGGGGUUUGGCCAAGGAAAAAUUUUCAGUCAAAAGAUUUUUUUUUUGCUUUAACCCCUGAGUUUCAGUCAAAUCGCCGUCAGUCUGCCAUUAUAAACAUGAAUUCAAACCAAGAAGAAUAAAGAGAGAAGCGGCUGUUGGAGAUGUUUCCAUUUUUUCUGUGGAUAACUGAGUAUUUGGUGUUUGCAGUUAUAGUAUAGUGAAAUAUAAAUAUUUGUUUUGCUGAAGUAAUUGUAUAUUAUUCAAAACACACUGUAUUUGUUGUAGAUGCUCAUCUAUCCCAGAGAGCACUGUUAAAGUUUUAGCUCCACCUUAUCAGAGAGCUGAAAAGUGGGAGUCAGAGGAAACAUGACCAACCUGCUGCAAAACAAUAACACAAAAGGUCUGGACUCUGGAGUGCAACAUUACUUGUUUGGUCAUCUACAUUCAGAUGAAAACACCACACUUCUCUCUAAUUCAACUAAGUUUUAAUGUAAUUAUGAGAGAUUCUUUUCUUUUUCCUGUUGUACUGUACUCUCCAUAGGUCUAAUAAAUGUUUAUCUGACUUGUAUCCCCAUUUUAGGAUGUCAAGCCUACUCAACGCAAAGAGAGUUAGCAUCAAAAUGGACGUGUCACUGACCAAUAACACAGAGAUGCCAGAAGUAUCUGUUUGCAGUCUACUUUUUGUUCAGUAUGGAGCAUCCAAAAUCCAUCACUCAGUUAAUUUCAAUCAUUACUAUUUAGCCCUUCCCAGUACUGAAAUUGUCCUGGGUCCUUUGUUUUUAUUGUUUAAAUGCUUAUCUGAAUGUAAAAUUAAUAUUUAAUGUUUAUAAGUAAAUAAAAAAAACAAUACUACGGUUAGUCUUUUAGCUCCCUUUUCAGAAACAUGUGGUUCACCAUUUUUCAUGGGUUACAGAACUGGGGAAAGUUGCAGCAUACAAAAAAAAAAAAGUCUGACUACUUGGUUUAUAGGUUUAUAGGAGAAUGUGGAGUAAAUACUUGACAUUUAUUUAAGGUAAAGGGUAAUGACCUGGUGGUGAGAUGCAAAAUAAGAUUGUCAUUAAUAUACUAUUUGAUGACAAACUUUUCACAUUCUAAUUUUACUUUAUUUUAAAAUUAUUUGCGCAAGUUAACUUUUUUUUUUUUUUUUUUUUUUGGUGGUGGUUUCUA